AGCAGCCGCGGUAAUUCCAGCUCCAAUUAGCGUAUAUUAAAGUUGUUGCAGUUAAAAAGCUCGUAGUUGAAUUUCGGGAUUUGACGUGACGGUCGUGCCUUACGGGGUAUGAACUGGUUGCAGUCGAAUUUCUCACCUUCUGGAGAAAUAUGAUGUCCUUAAUUGGGUGUCAUAUGGAACCAGGACCUUUACCUUGAAAAAUUAGAGUGUCUAAAGCAAGCAUAUUGCUCGAAUACAUUAGCAUGGAAUAAUAAAAUAGGACGGCUUGAUUCUAUUUUGUUGGUUUCUAGGAUCACCGUAAUGAUUAAUAGGGAUAGUUGGGGGCAUUAGUAUUCAAUUGUCAGAGGUGAAAUUCUUGGAUUUAUUGAAGACUAACUACUGCGAAAGCAUUUGCCAAGGAUGUUUUCAUUAAUCAAGAACGAAAGUUAGGGGAUCGAAGACGAUCAGAUACCGUCGUAGUCUUAACCAUAAACUAUGCCGACUAGGAAUCAGACGAUGUUAAUUUUUAAUGUACUCGUUU
This 520-nucleotide ribosomal RNA is filed under the name uncultured Entrophospora. Its description in RNAcentral is "SSU rRNA". It matches the Rfam family "Eukaryotic small subunit ribosomal RNA", at positions 569 to 1081 of the family's 1831-position model. The record is from RNAcentral. Lineage: Eukaryota; Fungi; Glomeromycota; Glomeromycetes; Entrophosporales; Entrophosporaceae.